RNAcentral lists this transfer RNA (72 nucleotides) under Parasitella parasitica. Its description in RNAcentral is "tRNA-Pro". It matches the Rfam family "tRNA". Rfam says of the family: Transfer RNA (tRNA) molecules are approximately 80 nucleotides in length. Their secondary structure includes four short double-helical elements and three loops (D, anti-codon, and T loops). Further hydrogen bonds mediate the characteristic L-shaped molecular structure. tRNAs have two regions of fundamental functional importance: the anti-codon, which is responsible for specific mRNA codon recognition, and the 3' end, to which the tRNAs corresponding amino acid is attached (by aminoacyl-tRNA synthetases). tRNAs cope with the degeneracy of the genetic code in two manners: having more than one tRNA (with a specific anti-codon) for a particular amino acid; and 'wobble' base-pairing, i.e. permitting non-standard base-pairing at the 3rd anti-codon position. Lineage: Eukaryota; Fungi; Mucoromycota; Mucoromycetes; Mucorales; Mucoraceae. The record is from RNAcentral.
GGAUCGGUGGUGUAGUGGUAUCAUUCUCGCUUUGGGUGCGAGAGGUCCCGGGUUCAAACCCCGGUUGGUCCC